Molecule: long non-coding RNA, 1218 nt
Organism: Vigna unguiculata (cowpea)
Lineage: Eukaryota; Viridiplantae; Streptophyta; Magnoliopsida; Fabales; Fabaceae
Source: RefSeq, a predicted model, not a curated record
CAUUUCCCAUUUUUUUAUAAUAUUUUAAAAUUUUAAUUAGACGUACUUUCUCGUUUUCAUCGUGACAAUCUUACUUAGGAAAGAAGGAGACCCUUAUCCACCGAUGUUCCACCAUCGUUCUCCUUCGAUGCUCCACCAGUGUUCUCCUCGAUCUCCACCGGAAAAGUGAAAGUGACGAUGGUGUUAGGAGUUGUGAAGAUGAUUGCGAAGAAGAAAAUGGGUUGAAGGCGAGGCGAAGGUUCAUUGUCUUGUGUAGAUGAAAUUAGGAAGAAGAAGAAGAAUUAAAGAUGAAGGGGAGAAGGUUACCUGUGUGUGUGAUUCUAUGAAGAGAAUGAUGUUUGGAGGAUUGUAUGAUGAAUAGUUUUGAAAUGAUGAUUGUCGAUGAAUGCUGGAAAUUGAAAUGAAAUCGAUCAAAAGUGGAAUUGAAAUGGGCAUGGGGUGCAAUGAAGGAGUGGAGAAGGAGGUGAAGAAUGAAAACUUUGUGAUAGGUGAUGAUGAUGAUGAGUAUGGCAGAUGACAUGUCCAUCAACUUGUUAUUGCUUUGAUUGGUGACCACUAGAAUUCCAAAACUUAGAGCAACAUUUAUAAAAAAGAUCCAUAGGUGAUAUUAUAUCAGUCCUGAAAGCUGAGAAAGAGGAGAUGGAAUCAUCACUCAGCAAAGAGAAACAACAUGCUCUUCAAUUAAAGCAAGAGUUGAUGGAAGUUAAGUCUCGUAACACUAACCUUGAAAGACUUUGUGUGUGAAUCCAUCACCGACAAGAUUUGGUCUAACAACUUUGACCUUUCUGGUUGAACAACACGUCGAUUGCACAUUUCAUCUUAAACAAGCAGAACAAUUUAGCCAACAAAGGUGUAGAAAUUGAGAAGAUUAUACAUAUGGAUGCUGCUCCUCUUGGAGUUUCCAUCUCGUGCUAAUAUCAAGUUGUGACUCAGAAUAAUUGGACAAGAAUGAAGAUGAAUUUAAAUUGUCAGACCUAGAGCAGGUAUAAGAAGUUGUUAUGCAAUGUAGUUUGAGAGAUUGUCAUUUAUGUACAUGAAUUUAAUUGGUUGUCCUUGACUAGAUGGGUUGGCUAGAUAAAUACCUCAUUUGUCUGUACAUAGGAAAUUGAAGGUUUGUUUCAUCUUUGUCGCAUUAUGAAGGAGAAUCACUGAACAAUUUGAUUGUGAUAUCUACUAUUUUAUGGUUGAGGUUAUGUAUACUUCAGUUUGUUUCUUUAA